Molecule: long non-coding RNA, 598 nt
Filed under: Parus major (Great Tit)
Lineage: Eukaryota; Metazoa; Chordata; Aves; Passeriformes; Paridae
Description: lncRNA (ENSPMJG00000018494.1)
Source: RNAcentral
CACAGACAAAGUGCAACUUUCUGUAGUAGAAGAGUUUGAUUUGGUUUUGGUCUUUAUAGGAGCAUGACUUGGUGCUGCUGAGCAUGUGUUUCUCCUGGACCAGGCUGCUCCAGUUUCAGUAAUAGUGAGAACAGGUGAACUCUCCUGACUUCAGCAGUGACCUACCCAUGACAUCUUUCCUUGAGGCUCGAGCCAGGCUGGUGUUCCUGGAAGAGGCAAACAUGACCUGCAGGCUUUCUAGGUAACAGACGUAAAUCCUGUGGCUUCAGAUGACCUUGACAUCAGCAACAACUGCUCGUGUUGUUGAUUGUCUUGCACAUAUGUGCUUGACACAGGUAUUCAGAUGUUUGAGAUUAGAAGAAAUCCUGGCAGUGGAGGCAGACGGAGUCUGGUGAAUCCGUCGGAGGGUAUGACGCGCUCCGAGGCAGCAGCGAGCACAGACUGGCACUGUGGGAUGGAGUCACAUGAAGCUCUUCAGAAAAACUGAAAGAAAAGGAAAAUCACUUCAUCUCUGACUCCUCCAUUGUGAACAAUCUUUUUAGAUAAUAUAUGAGGCAAGGAGUUUUGCACUGAGAUUACAGAGUCGUCUUUGCUCCCA